RNAcentral lists this unclassified non-coding RNA (292 nucleotides) under uncultured fungus. Its description in RNAcentral is "sequence contains ITS2". The stretch from base 1 to 52 matches the Rfam family "5.8S ribosomal RNA", at positions 103 to 154 of the family's 154-position model. The record is from RNAcentral. Lineage: Eukaryota; Fungi.
AACGCACCUUGCGCUCCUUGGUAUUCCGAGGAGCAUGCCUGUUUGAGUGUCAUGAAAUCUUCAACCUACAAGCUUUUUUGUGGUUUGUAGGCUUGGACUUGGAGGCUUGUCGGCCUUUAUUGGUCGGCUCCUCUUAAAUGCAUUAGCUUGGUUCCUUGCGGAUCGGCUGUCGGUGUGAUAAUGUCUACUCCGCGACCGUGAAGCGUAUGGCAAGCUUCCAACCGUCUCGCUAUAGAGACAGCUUUUUAUGACCUCUGACCUCAAAUCAGGUAGGACUACCCGCUGAACUUAA